GAUGAACGCUGGCGGCGUGCCUAAUACAUGCAAGUCGAGCGAACAGACGAGGAGCUUGCUCCUUUGACGUUAGCGGCGGACGGGUGAGUAACACGUGGAUAACCUACCUAUAAGACUGGGAUAACUUCGGGAAACCGGAGCUAAUACCGGAUAAUAUAUUGAACCGCAUGGUUCAAUAGUGAAAGACGGUUUUGCUGUCACUUAUAGAUGGAUCCGCGCCGCAUUAGCUAGUUGGUAAGGUAACGGCUUACCAAGGCAACGAUGCGUAGCCGACCUGAGAGGGUGAUAGGCCACCCUGGAACGGAGACACGGUCCAGACUCCUGCGGGAGGCAGCAGUAGGGAAUCUUACGCAGUGGGCGAAAGCCUGACGGAGCAACGCCGCGUGAGUGAUGAAGGUCUUCGGAGCGUAAAACUCUGUUAUGAGGGAAGAACAAAUGUGUAAGUAACUAUGCACGUCUUGACGGUACCUAAUCAGAAAGCCACGGCUAACUACGUG
RNAcentral lists this ribosomal RNA (497 nucleotides) under uncultured bacterium. RNAcentral describes it as "partial 16S ribosomal RNA". It matches the Rfam family "Bacterial small subunit ribosomal RNA", at positions 28 to 507 of the family's 1533-position model. The record is from RNAcentral.